RNAcentral lists this long non-coding RNA (2537 nucleotides) under Sus scrofa (pig). Its description in RNAcentral is "lncRNA (ENSSSCG00000043509.1)". Lineage: Eukaryota; Metazoa; Chordata; Mammalia; Artiodactyla; Suidae. The record is from RNAcentral.
CAGUGCAUUGUCAUAUGCCAGUUUAUUAACCAGCUGAAAAGAAGACUCUAAUUGGUUAUGGUAAUAGAAAUGUUAAGUCACAGGAGCAACAAUCUUAACUGCAAAGAAGAGAAGACAGCAAAGAAAAGAGGAAAAUAAACAGUGUGAUAGCUAAAGUAGCAAUAAGGUUCAGAGAGUGAUGGGAGUGGUAAGCAGGAAAUAUUCAGCAAGACAGGACAACAGAGAAAACUCCUGGCCAUGAGAACAUGAAAAACUGUGCCAGGGGUAGGGGUAGUAGCUCCUGAAGACGUAGUAAGCAGAGCUAAACCUUUAUUUAUAAUGACCACAGCUCUAACCCAGAAAGAGCAUCACUUAGUAAAGCUUAGGUAUUCCAACUACAGAAUUCUGCCAUCAAAGCGUGGACUUGGAAAACAGACUUGUGGUUGCUGAGGGCGGGAGCAGGAGGGACUGGGAGUCUCAGGGGUCAAUAGAUGCAUUUGGAGUGGAUAAGCAAGGAGAUCCUGCUGUAUAGCACAGGGAACUAGAUCUAGUCACUUGCGAUGGAACAUGAUAGAGGAUAAUGUGAGAAAAAGAAUGUGUGUAUGUAUGUGUGUGUGUGACUGGGUCACUUUGCUGUACAGUAGAAAAUUGACAGAACACAGUAAACCAACUAUAAUGGAAAAAAUAAAAAUCGUUAAAAAAUAAUUCUGCUAUCCAAUUGGAGCUGGGAAAAGAUGUGAAGCAGCAUUCAGUGAAUAAAGAAGAUAUUUAUCAAAAUGACCAGAGGGCCAUUUUAUUAUACCACAUGAGGUAACAGACAGGGCUUGAGAGUGUGAAUUUCCAGUCAUUUAACAAAAUCAAUUCAUGUGGAAGUUCUUUGCCUGUCAGUCUAGAUUUGAUGUUCAUUAUGAAAUAAAGUUAAACUGACUGCUAUCAUUGGCUCUACCUAUUGCACAUUAAAUUCCAGUAAUUUUGUGAAUAACAGCUAUUAAGGGAAAGAACUAUUUCCUUUAAUUAGUAUAACAUAUUGUAGGACGGAAACUCAGGGACCUGUAUUCUCAUUACACGUUAAGUCAGUAUGAAUAUGUUACUGAACUAUUCAUUUGACCUAUGUAGAGCUGUUUAAAAUGAGGUUAAAACUAUAUCACAUUGGGUCCUUUUAAGCUCAGUUAUUCCUUAGUGUUACUUACAUUAUAUUCAAGUAACUUACCAAUAAAAUGUAAUAGUUUUCACACGCAGCAAAAAAAAUCAAGCUUUUAAGCUUAUUUUCAUUUUACUGAAAAAAAAAAAAAAAAGUUCUACCAGCAUGCUUCUCAAACUUUAAUGUCCAAAUGGAUCUCACCUGUCAAUCUUGUUAAAACGUAGAUUCAGCGUGUCAGAGACAGGCAGGGCUAGAUUUCUAAAGCUGCCAGGUGAUACUGCCGUUGGUCCGGGGACUGCAUUUUGAGUAGCAAAUUUCUAGGAUCUGAAGAAACUGUAAUGCUGAUAAGCUAAGCUAGUGAUGAUGACUAAGAAUAAAAUACUACAAGGAAAAUAUUCCACAAAGUCUGAGAUGAAACACAUUCGGGAUUUGUGCUAACAUGGGAGAUGAGAAGAGAGUGGAAGAACAAGAUCCCAAGUUGCUAAGUGAUGGAGGUUUGUCAUCGUUUUCUAACGCUUGCUGCCAAUCAAGGGGAGCACUUUCUGUCCACUGAAAUGAGGGUGACAUGAUGUUGCACGGAGGGUGGCUAUACUGUGAGGCUGGAAAAGGAUCUACGUGUACUUAAGAAUCUCACACACAAUUUCAACCUUUAAAACACUAAUAAUGGUUCCUUAUUUUUUAAAUCUUUGCCCUUAGAAGACUCAGCUUACUUGGCACUUACUGAGAAGCAACUGAUUUGAAAACCUUAAAGUUGAUUAAAUGUCAUGAGGUCUGAUAAGGGGAUGAUCAAAGUUCAGAAUCCUCACCUUAAGAAAUAUAUAUAUACGUAUACAUAUAUAGUGUGUUGAGGAGUUCCCAUCGUGGCUCAGUGAUUAACAAUGCUACCUAGUAUCCAUGAGGAUACAGGUUAGGUCUCUGGCCUUGCUCAGUGGGUUAAGGAUCUGACAUUGCCAUGAGCUGUGGUGUAGACCACAGACAGCUCAGAUCCUGUGUUGCUGUGGCUGUGGUGGAGGCCGGCAGCUGAAGCUCUGAUUAGACCCCUAGCCUGGGAACCUCCAUAUGCUGCAGAUGCAGCCCUAGGAGGGGAAAACUACUGAAUUUAAAAAUACUAAAUCCAGGGUAAUGACUACCUUUAGAAAAGGGAUGCAUAGGGCCCAAGAUCAGGAAGAGUAUAAAGAUGUCACUUCAGUCUCAUGUUUUGUUUAAGUCAUACAUUAAAACUACACAUAAAGUAUGGGAAUUAUCAGGUGGUUAGAGUUGAGCAGUAAGUGCAAGGGUAGUAUUCCAUUUUUUCCUUAAUGGGGGCAAUCUGACGCUGACACUCAACAUUUAAGCUUUAUUUGCAAAAUCUAAAAGAUAUUAGAGGGAAUAAGUGUAUUUUAGAAUAAAGACAGGGUUUUGAUAACUGGUACGCAUA